UACGUAGGGUGCGAGCGUUGUCCGGAAUUAUUGGGCGUAAAGAGCUCGUAGGCGGUGUGUCACGUCGGCCGUGAAAACCUGCAGCUUAACUGUGGGCGUGCGGUCGAUACGGGCAUCACUGGAGUUCGGCAGGGGAGACUGGAAUUCCUGGUGUAGCGGUGAAAUGCGCAGAUAUCAGGAAGAACACCCGUGGCGAAGGCGGCUCUCUGGUACGUGACUGACGCUGAGACGCGAAAGCCGUGGGGAGCAAACAGG
This 255-nucleotide ribosomal RNA is filed under the name uncultured bacterium. Its description in RNAcentral is "partial 16S ribosomal RNA". It matches the Rfam family "Bacterial small subunit ribosomal RNA", at positions 524 to 776 of the family's 1533-position model. The record is from RNAcentral.